GAUGAACGCUGGCGGCGUGCCUAAUACAUGCAAGUCGAGCGAACAGAUGAGGAGCUUGCUCCUCUGACGUUAGCGGCGGACGGGUGAGUAACACGUGGAUAACCUACCUAUAAGACUGGGAUAACUUCGGGAAACCGGAGCUAAUACCGGAUAAUAUAUUGAACCGCAUGGUUCAAUAGUGAAAGACGGUUUUGCUGUCACUUAUAGAUGGAUCCGCGCCGCAUUAGCUAGUUGGUAAGGUAACGGCUUACCAAGGCAACGAUGCGUAGCCGACCUGAGAGGGUGGUCGGCUACACUGGAACUGAGACACGGGCCAGACUCCUACGGGAGGCAGCAGUAGGGAAUCUUCCGCAAUGGGCGAAAGCCUGACGGAGCAACGCCGCGUGGGUGAUGAAGGUCUUCGGAUCGUAAAACUCUGUUAUUAGGGAAGAACAAAUGUGUAAGUAACUAUGCACGUCUUGACGGUACCUAAUCAGAAAGCCACGGCUAACUACGUG
RNAcentral lists this ribosomal RNA (497 nucleotides) under uncultured bacterium. RNAcentral's name for it is "partial 16S ribosomal RNA". It matches the Rfam family "Bacterial small subunit ribosomal RNA", at positions 28 to 507 of the family's 1533-position model. The record is from RNAcentral.